This 253-nucleotide ribosomal RNA is filed under the name uncultured bacterium. RNAcentral describes it as "partial 16S ribosomal RNA". It matches the Rfam family "Bacterial small subunit ribosomal RNA", at positions 524 to 776 of the family's 1533-position model. The record is from RNAcentral.
UACGUAGGGGCCAAGCGUUGUCCGGAUCUAUUGGGCGUAAAGAGCUCGUAGGCGGUUCGGCAAGUCAGCUGUGAAAACUCACAGCUCAACUGUGGGCGUGCGGGCGAUACGGGCAGACUGGAGUACUGCAGGGGAGACUGGAAUUCCUGGUGUAGCGGUGGAAUGCGCAGAUAUCAGGAGGAACACCGGUGGCGAAGGCGGGUCUCUGGGCAGUAACUGACGCUGAGGAGCGAAAGCGUGGGGAGCGAACAGG